UUCGCCCUUAGAGUUUGAUCCUGGCUCAGGAUGAACGCUGGCGGCGCGCCUAACACAUGCAAGUCGAACGGCACCCCUCUCCGGAGGGAAGCGAGUGGCGAACGGCUGAGUAACACGUGGAGAACCUGCCCCCUCCCCCGGGAUAGCCGCCCGAAAGGACGGGUAAUACCGGAUACCCCGGGGUGCCGCAUGGCACCCCGGCUAAAGCCCCGACGGGAGGGGAUGGCUCCGCGGCCCAUCAGGUAGACGGCGGGGUGACGGCCCACCGUGCCGACAACGGGUAGCCGGGUUGAGAGACCGACCGGCCAGAUUGGGACUGAGACACGGCCCAGACUCCUACGGGAGGCAGCAGUGGGGAAUCUUGCGCAAUGGGGGGAACCCUGACGCAGCGACGCCGCGUGCGGGACGGAGGCCUUCGGGUCGUAAACCGCUUUCAGCAGGGAAGAGAAGAGACUGUACCUGCAGAAGAAGCCCCGGCUAACUACGUGCCAGCAGCCGCGGUAAUACGUAGGGGGCGAGCGUUAUCCGGAUUCAUUGGGCGUAAAGCGCGCGUAGGCGGCCCGGCAGGCCGGGGGUCGAAGCGGGGGGCUCAACCCCCCGAAGCCCCCGGAACCUCCGCGGCUUGGGUCCGGUAGGGGAGGGUGGAACACCCGGUGUAGCGGUGGAAUGCGCAGAUAUCGGGUGGAACACCGGUGGCGAAGGCGGCCCUCUGGGCCGAGACCGACGCUGAGGCGCGAAAGCUGGGGGAGCGAACAGGAUUAGAUACCCUGGUAGUCCCAGCCGUAAACGAUGGACGCUAGGUGUGGGGGGGCGAUCCCCCCGUGCCGCAGCCAACGCAUUAAGCGUCCCGCCUGGGGAGUACGGCCGCAAGGCUAAAACU
This 880-nucleotide ribosomal RNA is filed under the name uncultured bacterium. RNAcentral's name for it is "bacterial SSU rRNA". It matches the Rfam family "Bacterial small subunit ribosomal RNA", at positions 1 to 901 of the family's 1533-position model. The record is from RNAcentral.